Pristis pectinata (smalltooth sawfish) is the source of this 299-nucleotide long non-coding RNA. RefSeq lists it as uncharacterized. The transcript has 3 exons. The record is from RefSeq and is a predicted model, not a curated record. NCBI's taxonomy places the organism in Eukaryota, Metazoa, Chordata, Chondrichthyes, Rhinopristiformes, Pristidae.
AAACGAGCGAUUCAUUCGGCGCUGAGGGCAAGUUAAAUCUUUUCAGAAGUCUGGUGUCACCACUGUUGCCCUGGCUGACUUGGAACUGGUAGAUUAACUUUGGGUCUGUACUAUCUGUAUGGUGUCACACCACACCAGCUGGUGUACUUAGCCACAGAGCCAUCUGGAUGCUCUACACGUUACUUUGCAAUUGGCUUGGCAGUCGUCAUCUUCACCUGACCUCCUCUCCCCCCACAGAGCAGACUUCACACCCUGAAAGAUGACACAACUUGCAGUGGGCAGCAGGAGAUCCUGCAGGA